AACCAUAAAGGAGAGCAAAUUUUGGGGCAUGAUAAUACACAGAAUAUCAAAUUUCUUUUACACAUCUGAACCAUUAUUUUAGAAAGAGUUUUUUUAAUUAGAUUUCGAAGGAUAGAUUGGGGGUUUUUGGAGGAGGUGAAACAUCACUUCAAAGCACUCUUCCAACAAAUAUCAAAUCAGGGCAUCUCAUUGUGGCAACAUGCUUGUCUUUUGGAUGCAUCUAUGCUACCUUAAAGAUAUUGCUCCCAGUAAAGCAUACACAAUCACUUUAACAUGGGGACAUACACUCCACUGAAUGUUACACUUCGUGCAUACGGUUUGCACACUAUGAUAACACACCAUGACAUGUUUGGUACAUGUUGCAAUACUCAUUUUGUAGUCAAUUUAUUUCAAUGUUCAUAUUACUUUGAAAAUUGAGCCUUUUUCUUUGUAAUCUCUUUCAAAAAUUUCAAACCUAUGUGACUCAUAGUAAGAACAAGCCUUACUAGGACAAGAACAAUCAUGCUCUUAUAUCAUCUUCAUGUGUUGCUCCUUUUAUUUUGAUAUUAGAUAGAUAUAAUUCUAAGUC
Long non-coding RNA from Cryptomeria japonica (Japanese cedar), 568 nucleotides. RefSeq lists it as uncharacterized. The record is from RefSeq and is a predicted model, not a curated record. NCBI's taxonomy places the organism in Eukaryota, Viridiplantae, Streptophyta, Pinopsida, Cupressales, Cupressaceae. The transcript is spliced from 2 exons.